GACGAGCGCUGGCGGCGUGCUUAACACAUGCAAGUCGAACGGAAAGGCCCUGCUUUUGUGGGGUGCUCGAGUGGCGAACGGGUGAGUAGCACGUGAGUAACCUGCCCUUGACUUUGGGAUAACUUCAGGAAACUGGGGCUAAUACCGGAUAGGAGCUCCUGCUGCAUGGUGGGGGUUGGAAAGUUUCGGCGGUUGGGGAUGGACUCGCGGCUUAUCAGCUUGUUGGUGGGGUAGUGGCUUACCAAGGCUUUGACGGGUAGCCGGCCUGAGAGGGUGACCGGCCACAUUGGGACUGAGAUACGGCCCAGACUCCUACGGGAGGCAGCAGUGGGGAAUAUUGCACAAUGGGCGGAAGCCUGAUGCAGCAACGCCGCGUGCGGGAUGACGGCCUUCGGGUUGUAAACCGCUUUCGCCUGUGACGAAGCGUGAGUGACGGUAAUGGGUAAAGAAGCACCGGCUAACUACGUG
RNAcentral lists this ribosomal RNA (468 nucleotides) under uncultured bacterium. RNAcentral's name for it is "partial 16S ribosomal RNA". It matches the Rfam family "Bacterial small subunit ribosomal RNA", at positions 28 to 507 of the family's 1533-position model. The record is from RNAcentral.